AUAUAUAUAUAAUUGAAUUUGGACUUCUUCAUUACUUAAUCUUAAAAUUUUAAUUAUAACAAUCCUCCCACCCCAACCCAUUUCUCUCUCUCUCUCUCUCUCUCUCUCUCUCUCUCUCUCUAAUCACUAAAUUUUUAACACACAGAAUCUGUUAUUUAUUUAUUUUUCCAUGUGCAGUAAAAAUGUUUAAAUACUUUGUUAUAUUUAUAUAUGUGCUGGCAUUGUUAACUGUAAGGAAAAAAUAAAGAGAUAUUUAUCUCAUCUUUGUUAAGAAAUGAAGUGACAUUUUAUGAAUCAGAAAAAAAAAAACCCAGAAAAUAUAACACAGCUUUACUGUAAUAUUUUUCACUAGCUCAGUUACAUUUUGCCUU
Molecule: long non-coding RNA, 371 nt
Organism: Octopus sinensis (East Asian common octopus)
Lineage: Eukaryota; Metazoa; Mollusca; Cephalopoda; Octopoda; Octopodidae
Exons: 3
Source: RefSeq, a predicted model, not a curated record